GCCGGUUUAGCUCUAAUGGUAGAGCGGUCUCCUUGUAAGAGAAUGGGUAGCGGUUCAAAUCCGUUAACCGGCACCA
This 76-nucleotide transfer RNA is filed under the name Enterobacter hormaechei. Its description in RNAcentral is "tRNA-Thr". It matches the Rfam family "tRNA". Rfam says of the family: Transfer RNA (tRNA) molecules are approximately 80 nucleotides in length. Their secondary structure includes four short double-helical elements and three loops (D, anti-codon, and T loops). Lineage: Bacteria; Pseudomonadati; Pseudomonadota; Gammaproteobacteria; Enterobacterales; Enterobacteriaceae. The record is from RNAcentral.